GGUUUCUUGAUAAAUAUUAGAAAUUUGACCUGCCCACUGAGGAAUUGAAGGGCCGCAGUAUUUUGACUGUGCAAAGGUAGCAUAAUCAUUAGUCUUUUAAUUGGGGGCUGGAAUGAAUGGUUAGACGAGGUAAAAGCUGUCUUUUAUAAAAGAAUUGAAUUUAUAUUUUGAGUAAAAAGACUUAAAUAUAUUUAAGGGACGAGAAGACCCUAUAGAGUUUAAUAAAUGAUAUAUUUAAUUGAGUUUAGAAGGGAUUUAUAAUUAAUAUAAAAUUUAUUUAGUUGGGGUGACUGAAAGAUAUAAAAAACUCUUUAGAAUAUUGAAUAUUAAUUGGUAGAUAUUUGAUCCAUAAGUAGUGAGAAAGAGAAUAAAUUACCUUAGGGAUAACAGCAUAAUCUUCUUUAAGAGUUCUUAUUAAAAAGAAGGGUUAUGACCUCGAUGUUGGAUUAAGAUAAGAUUUGGGUGAAGUAGUUCAAAUACUAGGUCUGUUCGACCUUUAAAUUCUUACA
This 509-nucleotide ribosomal RNA is filed under the name Microphotina vitripennis. RNAcentral's name for it is "partial 16S ribosomal RNA". It matches the Rfam family "Bacterial large subunit ribosomal RNA", at positions 1832 to 2600 of the family's 2925-position model. Lineage: Eukaryota; Metazoa; Arthropoda; Insecta; Mantodea; Mantidae. The record is from RNAcentral.